AUUCACUGUGUUGCCCCUAGUUUGUGAGUAAACUAAAUCACUGUGAUCAGGUGUGGGUAUGAAGUAGCACUAGAUGUUGUUAAUUAGGAUGGAAUCACCUGUUUCUUAAAGCCCUGCUGGGGGUGGAAACCAUUUGUUCCUGUUGUUUUUCCAAGCCUGAGAAGGUCCAUGACUUCUGUGAGUGAGUACUUCAAAAGAAGCAGUUCUAAACUAUCUUCUUCAAGAGCAUACAAGGCUUUCCUUUUGCUUCAGAGAAAAGAAUUAAGUCUGUUAGAAAGUUGAAUGCAGUGAUGAAAUGAAGAAAGAGAUUAUGCCUGAAGCUGUCUGUUACAGUAAAUGUGAGGUCUACUUACAAUGGAGGCGAGAUCAAAGUUGUCAUAAAAAUCAGUCCUAUAUGUCCAUGGAUGCCUCAUGGUGGAAUUCAUUUAUGAGGACAAAAGUCCUGCAUACAAAGAGCAUGAAUAGCUGUAACUACAGAACUAUGGACCAUGAAUAGCUGUAACUCCUGGAAUUUCAUCAGUGUAAGGAAAAAGCUGUGCAGCUGGUGAUGUCACAGUGCUAGAAGAUAGAGAACUUCACCCAGUUUCAGCAAAGUUACUCAUGUGGCCGGCACUAUCCUGAACAAAGAUGAAGUUCUGGUCUCCUGAAAACAAGACUUACUGUGUCUAGAGAGACAAUGUGGUGGCUACUGCAUCGGUUUGUCUGUGGACACAUGUUAAUUUUCAGUAUUACAGCUGAACUGAACAGAGUGUGAGGACAGCUGUGGACUAAAGAUAUAUGAGGGCUGCUCUGAAAGUAAUGCCUCCUAUCUUAUUACACUAGCCCAAGACAUCAGAGGCAGACGUUGGUGGGAUGGCAUUAGAGGCUGAACCUGCACAUCAGUAUUCUGUUACAUUGUGUUGUCGUGUGACAGGUGGCAGCAGAGGGGCAGCCUGACACAAUGGCAUCUGCCAUGGAAGUGUGUAUGAAGCAAAGGUGUGUCAGUGCGUUCUGCCAUGCAGAAAAGAGGGCACCCAGUGACAAUCAUUGUCAUUCUUGUUCGUCACUGGUGAAAAUACGCAGCUACUGGUGGUGACUAUGUUGGAAAAUAGUGUUUUGUGGCUGAGAAUUUGCUCUAUCAAUUAGUGUUACUGUGAUCUUUGUAUCUAUUCUGGUUUCCAUGGAAAUAAACAUGAAGCAUUACUUUUGGAGCA
This 1193-nucleotide long non-coding RNA is filed under the name Phasianus colchicus (ring-necked pheasant). Its description in RNAcentral is "lncRNA (ENSPCLG00000008817.1)". Lineage: Eukaryota; Metazoa; Chordata; Aves; Galliformes; Phasianidae. The record is from RNAcentral.